CAGUCGCCGCGGUAAUACGUAGGUGGCAAGCGUUGUCCGGAAUUAUUGGGCGUAAAGGGCUCGCAGGCGGUUUCUUAAGUCUGAUGUGAAAGCCCCCGGCUCAACCGGGGAGGGUCAUUGGAAACUGGGAAACUCGAGUGCAGAAGAGGAGAGUGGAAUUCCACGUGUAGCGGUGAAAUGCGUAGAGAUGUGGAGGAACACCAGUGGCGAAGGCGACUCUCUGGUCUGUAACUGACGCUGAGGAGCGAAAGCGUGGGGAGCGAUCAGGAUUAGAUACCCGCGUAGUCCCUGUCUCUUAUAC
This 301-nucleotide ribosomal RNA is filed under the name uncultured bacterium. Its description in RNAcentral is "partial 16S ribosomal RNA". It matches the Rfam family "Bacterial small subunit ribosomal RNA", at positions 509 to 807 of the family's 1533-position model. The record is from RNAcentral.